This 2791-nucleotide long non-coding RNA is filed under the name Canis lupus familiaris (dog). Its description in RNAcentral is "lncRNA (ENSCAFG00000053836.1, ENSCAFG00845008063.1)". The record is from RNAcentral. Lineage: Eukaryota; Metazoa; Chordata; Mammalia; Carnivora; Canidae.
AAAUGCAUUCUUUACCCUAUGUUGGAACAGAUUUUAAUUUUGAAAAUCUAAACUUCUCUAGAACUCAUUAUUAUUAGAUAAUAUUAAUAUACUAUUUAUUAUUAGGUAAUAUUAGUUAUAACAUCUAGUUCACCCCACUUAAAACUCCACUUCUCCCCAACUCUCUAUCCCAGGGUCUUGGCUUUAUUUUUUCCUCCAUGAAUUUAGCACCGUUUUGUAAGACUACAUAUAUUAUUUAUUCCUUGGCUUACUGCCUAUGUCUCCCCAUCAGGACAUAAGUUCCUCAGGCAGAGGUGGAGAAGAGGUUUCUCGUUUCUCUGGUUGCUCACCCUGUAUCUCUAGCACCUACCAUAAUACCUGGCUGCUAAGAAGCACUCCAGCACUCAAUAAAUAUUUGUUGAACAAAUGAAUGUGUUACUUUGUUAUGAUAUUUAUGGAAUAAGCCGUUGUAUCUAUUCAUUCCCGUCCCACCUUAUGGUAUCUGCAACAGGAGAGUGCCCAUCAAUUACAAGUCUAUUUAGCAUUUAUAUGGCACUUUAUAUUUAAAAUACACUGUUCAGUUAUUAUCCCCACAAUCGACCUUGAGAAGAUAUACUCAAAAGUAGAGAUGUCCACAGCUCUUCUCCUUCCUAGACCUCCACAACAGAUGUGAGGCAUGGGGUGAGAGGGAGGAGCAAGUUCAAGGAUGCGGGAGAAGAGGGGAGGGAAGAGGAGACAAGGUGCAUAGAACCCCUGUUGUUGAAACUCCAUUCCCUGGCUUACCUUUGCCUCCUUAGAAGUGGUGGCCCAGAGCCAGAGAUCCUCCCCUCCAGCUGCUGCAGGUGAGUUCAGCAUCCCCGCAGAGGAGGAGGAGAAAAAUGAAGCCCCAGGAGCCUAGAGAGGAGGUGAGGCGUGAGAGGAGGAGGGACUCCCAGCAACCAUCUCCCAGCAAGGGUCUUCAAUUGUGGCCUCCGAGCUCUCCACCUUCUUUACAGGUGGCAACCAGACAAAUUCCUUUCCACACCACUUCUCAGCUUGCCUGGAGCUCCACUCUCUGCCACCACAAGCCAGAGUCACUAAGCAUGAAGCCCAGUGCCCUCACCCAGCCUUCUGAUCUACCCUACCCACCUCAGCCACAGGACUUAGCCUCAGGUGGGAAGACCAAUGAGCCACACUGCAUAUGGCCCAACAGUGAUAAAAACAAAAACAAAAAACAGAUGUUAACCUAAGAGCUUGUAUGUCCUGCUUCACGUACAAAUACCUCAACCCUGUGGCCUUUAGGAAGAGCUUGGCCUGAAUGUGGCAUCAAGUGGAUGCUCUUCUGUUGCCGGGACUAAACAUACUAAACAAAGACCUGUCUAAGUCCCCUACUUUAGUGCUAUGGUACCUUAAAUCUCAGCCUCGAACUUACCAACUCCUUCCCCAGCUCAGCAAUAAGAAUGAGCAAAUCAUCAGGAAAAUCAGCAGAAAAGAAGGUCCAGGUGUUGGCAGCCACUAGGCAUUCUCAGACAAGGCAAGAAACACAGCAAUAAGCAGAUCAUUUUCAUAAACUUGGUACAAUAAUAUUGGCUGUUUCUGGAAAAUCCCUUACACACAAGGCGCAAAAAAGCUAUUCUUUGUGUAAAGGGAACUAACACCUAAGAAGCACACAGAACAUCUCCAGUGUGCCCAGCACUAUACAAGCUCUAUACAGAAACCGUCUUACUUAAACUUCUCAAUUACCCUAGGAGAUAUGUGUCAUAUCUCUGUUCAUUAAAAGAGGGAAAUUGAAAAAGGCUCAUAAAUGUCUAAUAACUUGCUUAAGUUCCCACAGUUAAAAAGUGGAAGAGUCAGGUCUAAAAACUAGGCCUCCCAACUUUCAAGCCCAAGCACUCUGUCUGGUCAUUGUAUAGAAAAAGUUUACUUUUUUUUUUUUGUAAUUUCCCACUGAAUAUUUGAACUUUUCUUGUUUUAGGGCCUAAGGGAGAAAGCAUUUAAGAUAUUUUAAUCUUUCUUUAGUGUUACUCUGACAUCACACAUCUUGGACGGCCCCAGGGAGAUUACUGCAAACAUUAUUUAUUAUAAUACUGCUUGAUCUCUGGGUAUUUAUUGAACGUCUAUUGAUUGUUAAUAGGGAUUCCUACUUGACAAGAGCAGUAAGAGGGCCAACUUUCUUUUUCAAUUGUUUUGUGUAUUGACUUCAUUAUUUGAGGCCUUCGUCUUAUCUUUAUGAACAUUCACCAGACAUAUUUGAAUCAAAGACAUGUUCAUUCCACUGGCAUUUCUAAUCUUCAGUGGGUCAUACAUUAUGUACACAUCAGCUCAGCUAGUAAAUACAUUUAAAAAGAUAGGUUUGACACACAUAAAUUCACAUUGCAUGAUACUUCAUGCAAGAAACUUCCAAGCAGCUAACUUGCUAUCAGACCAUUAAUAAAAAUGUUGUAGAAACUGCUUCUAAAGGGUGGCAAUUAGCUACAAUGAUUAGACAAAACAUGGUUUCACAUUAAAUUAAAUUGAUAUUUAAAUGUAAUUGUUUUUAGCUCUGUGGUGUCAAGGUACUACAUAAAUCCAUUAUUACUACUAUUUAAAGCAAUAGUAACAACCACAAUAACUCAACCAAAUUUUCCGAGAUUGUAAUUUGCUGUGCCCCAAUGAAGUUAAUUGCAUACUUGGGAGGGGGGUUAACUCUUUCAAGCCACUUGGGAUAGUUUAAUGACAGUUUUUGAAAGAGUUAAUUGCCUUCCAAAAUGUCUCCCAGUGGAGAGAGUUCAUAUACAUAUACAGUAUAGCUCUAAAGAAACAUAUUAAUUUACACUUAGCUAGAUUAACUCUG